RNAcentral lists this unclassified non-coding RNA (253 nucleotides) under uncultured Anaerolineae bacterium. RNAcentral's name for it is "contains 16S-23S intergenic spacer region". It matches the Rfam family "Bacterial small subunit ribosomal RNA", at positions 524 to 776 of the family's 1533-position model. The record is from RNAcentral. Lineage: Bacteria; Bacillati; Chloroflexota; Anaerolineae.
AACGUAGGGGGCGAGCGUUAUCCGGAUUUACUGGGCGUAAAGCGCACGUAGGCGGCGUCGUAAGUUGGGCGUGAAAGCUCUUGGCUUAACCGAGAGAGGUCGUUCAAUACUGCGAUGCUUGAGGUUGACAGAGGAGAGUGGAAUUCCCGGUGUAGUGGUGGAAUGCGUAGAUAUCGGGAGGAAUACCAGUGGCGAAGGCGACUCUCUGGGUCACACCUGACGCUGAGGUGCGAAAGCGUGGGGAGCGAACGGG